GACGUAGGAUGCAAGCGUUGUCCGGAUUUAUUGGGCGUAAAGAGUUCGUAGGUGGUUUGUUAAGUCUGAUGUUAAAGACUGGGGCUCAACUGGGAGGGUGCGCCGAAUACUGAGGGACUAGAGUACGGGAGAGGAAAGUGGAAUUCCUGGUGUAGCGGUGAAAUGCGUAGAUAUCAGGAGGAACACCGGUGGUGUAGACGGCUUUCUGGACCGUAACUGACGCUGAGACACGAAAGCGUGGGUAGCAAACAGG
Molecule: ribosomal RNA, 253 nt
Filed under: uncultured prokaryote
Description: partial 16S ribosomal RNA
Rfam family: Bacterial small subunit ribosomal RNA
Source: RNAcentral